UACGGAGGGUGCAAGCGUUAUCCGGAUUCACUGGGUUUAAAGGGUGCGCAGGUGGGCAGGUAAGUCAGUGGUGAAAUCUCCGGGCUUAACUCGGAAACUGCCAUUGAUACUAUCUUUCUUGAAUACCGUGGAGGUCAGCGGAAUAUGUCAUGUAGCGGUGAAAUGCUUAGAUAUGACAUAGAACACCAAUUGCGAAGGCAGCUGGCUACACGAAUAUUGACACUGAUGCACGAAAGCGUGGGGAUCAAACAGG
Molecule: ribosomal RNA, 253 nt
Filed under: uncultured bacterium
Lineage: Bacteria
Description: partial 16S ribosomal RNA
Rfam family: Bacterial small subunit ribosomal RNA
Source: RNAcentral